GCACCCCUGUGCCUACGGGAAGGGUUCUUUGACCCACUUGAGUCUGUCUCUACCUUGGGUGCGACCAUAUGGCUCCAAGGAUGGGUGGCGGCCCAAAAAGAGAAAAGUGGAAGGAGUGUUGUGCCGGACACCAGUCGCUUGCGAUGAGGGUACUGGCGGCAGCAAGCAUGUUGGUUGACGUUAGCCAAGGCUCGAGAAAAGAUUUCUUAAAGAUCAUUGUGCGGGACGAGAAUCUCACUCUCUUGCUGCUGGACUGUGGACCAUAGAGUUCGUCUAAAAAUUCUUAGAAGCACUACACGUCUCAACUUCCCAACAGGCAGACCACCCUGUCUACCACCAGCGAGCCUGCCACUCCGGGAGACAAACCGGGAUCGACGAUUUGGCAUGUCAUUGCCUGUGACAACAGGAACAGGUGGAUGUCCUGACGGAA
Molecule: long non-coding RNA, 430 nt
Organism: Dreissena polymorpha
Lineage: Eukaryota; Metazoa; Mollusca; Bivalvia; Myida; Dreissenidae
Exons: 3
Source: RefSeq, a predicted model, not a curated record